AACGACUCUCGGCAACGGAUAUCUCGGCUCUCGCAUCGAUGAAGAACGUAGCGAAAUACGAUACUUGGUGUGAAUUGCAGAAUCCCGUGAACCAUCGAGUUUUUGAACGCAAGUUGCGCCCAAAGCUAUUAGGCUAAGGGCACGUCUGCCUGGGCGUCACGC
RNAcentral lists this ribosomal RNA (162 nucleotides) under Palicourea holmgrenii. RNAcentral's name for it is "5.8S ribosomal RNA". It matches the Rfam family "5.8S ribosomal RNA". Rfam says of the family: 5.8S ribosomal RNA (5.8S rRNA) is a component of the large subunit of the eukaryotic ribosome. It is transcribed by RNA polymerase I as part of the 45S precursor that also contains 18S and 28S rRNA. Lineage: Eukaryota; Viridiplantae; Streptophyta; Magnoliopsida; Gentianales; Rubiaceae. The record is from RNAcentral.